This 364-nucleotide unclassified non-coding RNA is filed under the name uncultured bacterium. Its description in RNAcentral is "contains 16S-23S intergenic spacer region". The record is from RNAcentral.
UCCUGGUUGGCCCAGGCAGUCUCGCAUGAAAAAUACAACAUACGAUAAGGGUUGCGCUCGUUGCGGGACUUAACCCAACAUCUCACGACACGAGCUUUCGACGGCCAUGCAACACCUGUCACUGAGUUCCCGAAGGCACUCCUCUGUUUCCAGUGGAUUCUCAGGAUGUCAAGCCUUGGUGAGGUUUUACGCGUAUCGUCAUAUUAAACCACAUCAUCCUCCGCUUGUGCGGGUCCCCGUCAAUUCCUUUGAGUUUUAGCCUUGCGGCCGUACUUCCCAGGCGGCAUACUUAACGCGUUAGCUUCGCCACGCAGGGGGUCGAUACCCCACACGGCUAGUAUGCAUCGUUUACGGCGUGGACUAC